CGGAGUUCAGUCUUCCCAGGCCCACCACGCUUCGCCGUCGGCUUCGCAUGGCACCGCCAGGCAGAACGACGAGGCGAAGCGCGUCCGGCAUAGCCCGAAGGGCGACGCCGGACAGAAAGAGCGCUUCGUCUUCUGGUUACGGGGCCAUAGCUCAGCUGGGAGAGCGCGUGCUUUGCAAGCAUGAGGUCGUCGGUUCGAUCCCGUCUGGCUCCACCAGAUGGUUUGAUCACCGAGAUCUUGACCGUCGUCCGCGAAACAUCACUUCGCAUCCUGCUAGUCUGGAUAGACAGCAAGUUGCGUGUUUUCUGACAUCGUAAAGAGGAGAUCGAUCCGAGUUGGAUCGUGCAACAUAUCGUUGCGCGAGCCUUCAUUAUCUCCGGAUCAUUUCGGCGCUCGCUUCCAGCCGUGAGGUUGGAUGCGGGUUGUAAAUGAUCCUUUUAGCGAAGCUUGACCGCCUCGCUAUCGGAACGAUCUUACGAAGCAAGCUGGUCUUUCUAGUCAAUGUCCGGCUGUACGUAGCAUUCAUCGAGGGUGCGCGCCCGAGAUUUCGGUCUCUUGGCAAUCGUACAGACAACAUUCUGCCGAGUGUGUGGACAUUGAUAAUGAGAGCAAUCAAGUGCCUUAAGGGUGUUCGGUGGAUGCCUUGGCGCUGAGAGGCGAUGAAGGACGUGCUACGCUGCGAUAAGCCGUGGGGAGCUGCGAAGAAGCUUUGAUCCGCGGAU
This 722-nucleotide unclassified non-coding RNA is filed under the name Bradyrhizobium sp. RNAcentral describes it as "partial 16S-23S ribosomal RNA intergenic spacer". The stretch from base 611 to 722 matches the Rfam family "Bacterial large subunit ribosomal RNA", at positions 1 to 111 of the family's 2925-position model. The record is from RNAcentral. Lineage: Bacteria; Pseudomonadati; Pseudomonadota; Alphaproteobacteria; Hyphomicrobiales; Nitrobacteraceae.